This 253-nucleotide ribosomal RNA is filed under the name uncultured bacterium. Its description in RNAcentral is "partial 16S ribosomal RNA". It matches the Rfam family "Bacterial small subunit ribosomal RNA", at positions 524 to 776 of the family's 1533-position model. The record is from RNAcentral.
UACGAAGGGUGCAAGCGUUACUCGGAAUUACUGGGCGUAAAGCGUGCGUAGGUGGUUUGUUAAGUCUGAUGUGAAAGCCCUGGGCUCAACCUGGGAAUUGCAUUGGAUACUGGCAGUCUAGAGUGCGGUAGAGGGUAGCGGAAUUCCCGGUGUAGCAGUGAAAUGCGUAGAUAUCGGGAGGAACAUCCGUGGCGAAGGCGGCCUUCUGGUCCAGUACUGACACUCAAGUGCGAAAGCGUGGGGAGCAAACAGG